This 363-nucleotide unclassified non-coding RNA is filed under the name uncultured bacterium. Its description in RNAcentral is "contains 16S-23S intergenic spacer region". The record is from RNAcentral.
UCCCCCGUGAGGGGGCAGUCUCGCCUGACAUAAGUAACAGACAACGAGGGUUGCGUUCGUUACCCCACUGAAGGGAACAGCUCAAGCCACGAACUGACGACGACCAUGCAUCACCUGCCAAACACCCUCGAAGGCUUCCAACUUUUCAGAAGGAAUGCAGUUUGGUUUCUAGCCUUGGUAAGGUUCUUCGCUUGUCGACGAAUUAAGCCACAUGAUCCACCCCUUGUGCGAGUCCCCGUCUAUUCCUUUGAGUUUUAAUCUUGCGAUCGUACUACCCAGGCGGCUCGCUUACCGCGUUAGCUUAGUCUCACAGAGGGUCGAUACUCCGUAAAACGAGCGAGCAACGUUUAGGGCUAGGACUAC